This 609-nucleotide ribosomal RNA is filed under the name uncultured bacterium. RNAcentral's name for it is "bacterial SSU rRNA". It matches the Rfam family "Bacterial small subunit ribosomal RNA", at positions 8 to 649 of the family's 1533-position model. The record is from RNAcentral.
AGAGUUUGAUCCUGGCUCAGAAUCAACGCUGGCGGCGCGCCUAACACAUGCAAGUCGAACGAGAAAGUGGAGCAAUCCAUGAGUAAAGUGGCGUACGGGUGAGUAACACGUGGGUGAUCUACCUCUUAGUGAGGAAUAACCCUGGGAAACCGGGGCUAAUACCGCAUAAGCCUUAGCAGGGAAAGUCGCAAGACGCUGAGAGAGGAGCCCGCGGCCGAUUAGCUAGUUGGUGGGGUAAGAGCCCACCAAGGCAGAGAUCGGUAGCCGGCCUGAGAGGGCACACGGCCACACUGGCACUGAAACACGGGCCAGACUCCUACGGGAGGCAGCAGUGGGGAAUCUUGCACAAUGGGGGAAACCCUGAUGCAGCGACGCCGCGUGAGCGAUGAAGCCCUUCGGGGUGUAAAGCUCUUUCGUCAGGGAAGAUAGUGACGGUACCUGGAGAAGCAGCUGCGGCUAACUACGUGCCAGCAGCCGCGGUAAUACGUAGGCAGCAAGCGUUGUUCGGAGUUACUGGGCGUAAAGGGUGUGUAGGCGGUUCUUUAAGUUUGGUGUGAAAUCUCCCGGCUCAACCGGGAGGGUGCGCCGAAUACUGAGGGACUAGAGUGU